Molecule: ribosomal RNA, 850 nt
Filed under: uncultured bacterium
Lineage: Bacteria
Description: bacterial SSU rRNA
Rfam family: Bacterial small subunit ribosomal RNA
Source: RNAcentral
CUGCAGUCGAGCGGCAGCGCGGGAGCAUCCUGGCGGCGAGCGGCGGACGGGUGAGUAACGCUUGGGAAUCUGCCUGUUAGUGGGGGACAACCCGGGGAAACUCGGGCUAAUACCGCAUACGCACUACGGUGGAAAGCCGGGGACCGCAAGGCCUGGCGCUAACAGAUGAGCCCAAGUCGGAUUAGCUAGUUGGUAGGGUAACGGCCUACCAAGGCGACGAUCCGUAACUGGUCUGAGAGGACGACCAGUCACACCGGAACUGAGACACGGUCCGGACUCCUACGGGAGGCAGCAGUGGGGAAUAUUGGACAAUGGGGGAAACCCUGAUCCAGCGACGCCGCGUAGGUGAAGAAGGCCUGCGGGUUGUAAAGCCCUUUCGGUGGGGAAGAAAAGUCUCGGCUUAAUACGCUGGGACCUUGACGUAACCCACUAAAGAAGCACCGGCUAACUCUGUGCCAGCAGCCGCGGUAAUACAGAGGGUGCGAGCGUUAAUCGGAAUUACUGGGCGUAAAGCGCGCGUAGGCGGCUUUGCAAGUCGGGUGUGAAAUCCCCAGGCUUAACCUGGGAACUGCAUUCGAGACUGCAUUGCUAGAGUAUGGGAGAGGGCAGUGGAAUUUCCGGUGUAGCGGUGAAAUGCGUAGAUAUCGGAAGGAACAUCAGUGGCGAAAGCGACUGCCUGGACCAAUACUGACGCUCAUGUGCGAAAGCGUGGGGAGCAAACAGGAUUAGAUACCCUGGUAGUCCACGCCAUAAACGAUGACAACUGGAUGUCGGAGGGGUCUGCCCUUCGGUGUCGUAGCUAACGCGUUAAGUUGUCCGCCUGGGGAGUACGGCCGCAAGGUUGAAACUC